Long non-coding RNA from Fundulus heteroclitus (mummichog), 1202 nucleotides. RefSeq lists it as uncharacterized. The transcript is spliced from 2 exons. NCBI's taxonomy places the organism in Eukaryota, Metazoa, Chordata, Actinopteri, Cyprinodontiformes, Fundulidae. The record is from RefSeq and is a predicted model, not a curated record.
GUCUUGUGCUCGGUGUCAUCACUGCGAGCGCUUUUCAGAGACAAGACGACUGCUGCUGCUGCUGCUGCCGCUCUCCAGCUCAGCAAACUACCACCGGCAGGUGACAGGUUAGCAUUUACGCUCUUCUGCACGUUAUCUGCUCAGAGAUGGAGAAGCAAAUGCAAGAGCCGUGGCUGUCCCAGCGAUCAGGCCCCCCACUUAGUGUAUUUGACAAGCUGAGUUGGACACUCUGUAUCAGUGAGUGUCAGUUUGUCAAAUACCCCAAGUGAGGUGUCACUUGUCUACAGAGGUCACCACCCAGACAGAGCGGUCCAACGCGGCAUGGCAAAAGUGCAAAGAAUUGCUUCCCUGGUGAAACAUGAUGAGAAAGACAAAAUGUAUUGUAACCACUGUUUUUUUGCAAGUGCAGGUUGAUUUAGCAAGCAUGUGUCUUUUGACUUGUUUUUUGUUUUGGCAGUAAAUUUUCUCAUUGUAACCUUCCAGAAGAACCCACUGAUUUUUUUUUAUACAUGUCAAUAGCGAAAAAAGAGCAUAAAAUGAAGUCGCACGAUAAAUGACCAUGAGCAGUCAGAAAAAGUACUUCCUUUGCAAAAGGUAAUGCAAUGGAAGUAAUGUUAUUCAAAUAAGGCUUUCAUUACAAAAUGGUGAUGUGUUUUUAUUAUAUUUUUCUGGUUUGGUUUUAGUUUGCAAAAACAUGUUACCAGGGCUUUCUUCUGCUCCAUGAUUGGAUUAUGUGCCUGCAGCACAAGCAACUUUCAGGGAGAAGUGAACCACCCAGUGCCUCCCUGAGCCACAUGGUACUUUGCUGAUCUUCUUCAUUUCUAUGUGUCACAUUUCUGUAAUAAACGUGAAUGCUUGGUGAAAUGAAGCAAAUUCUGCAUACUCCAGCUAAUCUUCCAGUUUUAUGGGUUUUUACAGACAAAUCUUAUCGGACUGUCUUGCGUUUCCUUAAAGAACUCUUUGACGUCCACUAAUGCGGCCGCAGUAAUUGCUUUGCUAUCUGAGCUUUUUUUUUCUGCAAACCCAGCAUUGCACCAAGUGAAGGUGUAUUGUAAUUUUAGUUUUGGGAAGUGGCCAAAUUGCAUCAUGUCAACAGGAACCAACUGCCACUGCAUUACCACAUUAGUACCUAUUAUGAAUGUAAAGUCAAAUGUAGCACACAUUAGCUGCAACAAUAAAAGCCAUUUGCACUGCAACAGGAA